Molecule: ribosomal RNA, 716 nt
Filed under: uncultured bacterium
Lineage: Bacteria
Description: bacterial SSU rRNA
Rfam family: Bacterial small subunit ribosomal RNA
Source: RNAcentral
AUAACACUUGGAAACAGGUGCUAAUACCGCAUAACCAUAGUUACCGCAUGGUAACUAUGUAAAAAGUGGCUAUGCUACCGCUUUUGGAUGGGCCCGCGGCGCAUUAGCUAGUUGGUGGGGUAAAGGCUUACCAAGGCAAUGAUGCGUAGCCGAACUGAGAGGUUGAUCGGCCACAUUGGGACUGAGACACGGCCCAAACUCCUACGGGAGGCAGCAGUAGGGAAUCUUCCACAAUGGGCGAAAGCCUGAUGGAGCAACGCCGCGUGGGUGAAGAAGGUCUUCGGAUCGUAAAACCCUGUUGUUAGAGAAGAAAGUGCGUGAGAGUAACUGUUCACGUUUCGACGGUAUCUAACCAGAAAGCCACGGCUAACUACGUGCCAGCAGCCGCGGUAAUACGUAGGUGGCAAGCGUUAUCCGGAUUUAUUGGGCGUAAAGGGAACGCAGGCGGUCUUUUAAGUCUGAUGUGAAAGCCUUCGGCUUAACCGGAGUAGUGCAUUGGAAACUGGGAGACUUGAGUGCAGAAGAGGAGAGUGGAACUCCAUGUGUAGCGGUGAAAUGCGUAGAUAUAUGGAAGAACACCAGUGGCGAAAGCGGCUCUCUGGUCUGUAACUGACGCUGAGGUUCGAAAGCGUGGGUAGCAAACAGGAUUAGAUACCCUGGUAGUCCACGCCGUAAACGAUGAAUGCUAAGUGUUGGAGGGUUUCCGCCCUUCAGUG